Molecule: ribosomal RNA, 492 nt
Filed under: uncultured bacterium
Lineage: Bacteria
Description: partial 16S ribosomal RNA
Rfam family: Bacterial small subunit ribosomal RNA
Source: RNAcentral
AGUGAACGCUGGCGGUAGGCCUAACACAUGCAAGUCGAACGGCAGCACAGUAAGAGCUUGCCCUUACGGGUGGCGAGUGGCGGACGGGUGAGGAAUACAUCGGAAUCUACUUUUUCGUGGGGGAUAACGUAGGGAAACUUACGCUAAUACCGCAUACGACCUACGGGUGAAAGCAGGGGAUCUUCGGACCUUGCGCGAUUGAAUGAGCCGAUGUCAGAUUAGCUAGUUGGCGGGGUAAAGGCCCACCAAGGCGACGAUCCGUAGCUGGUCUGAGAGGAUGAUCAGCCACACUGGAACUGAGACACGGUCCAGACUCCUACGGGAGGCAGCAGUGGGGAAUAUUGGACAAUGGGCGCAAGCCUGAUCCAGCCAUACCGCGUGGGUGAAGAAGGCCUUCGGGUUGUAAAGCCCUUUUGUUGGGAAAGAAAAGCAGCAGGUUAAUACCCCGCUGUUCUGACGGUACCCAAAGAAUAAGCACCGGCUAACUUCGUG